GUGCCAGCAGCCGCGGUAAUACGUAGGGGGCAAGCGUUGUCCGGAAUUAUUGGGCGUAAAGCGCGCGCAGGCGGUUUCUUAAGUCUGGUGUGAAAGCCCGCAGCUCAACUGCGGAGGGCCACUGGAAACUGGGAAACUUGAGUGUAGGAGAGGAGAGCGGAAUUCCACGUGUAGCGGUGAAAUGCGUAGAUAUGUGGAGGAACACCCGUGGCGAAAGCGGCUCUCUGGCCUAUAACUGACGCUGAGGCGCGAAAGCGUGGGGAGCAAACAGGAUUAGAAACCCCCGUAGUCC
Molecule: ribosomal RNA, 292 nt
Filed under: uncultured bacterium
Lineage: Bacteria
Description: partial 16S ribosomal RNA
Rfam family: Bacterial small subunit ribosomal RNA
Source: RNAcentral